GACGAACGCUGGCGGCGUGCUUUAGGGAUGCGAGUCGAGCGGUUUUUUCUGGAACUUGAAACUUCGGUCGAUUGUUCCUCUAAAAAUAGCGGCAGACGACUGAGUAACACGUAGACAACUUACCCUCAACACAGAGAUAGCCACGCGAAAGUGUGGGUAAUAUCUGAUAGCCCGUAUAGGUGAAAAUCCAGUACGGUAAAGGCGCAAGCCGGUUGAAGAGAGGUCUGCGGCCCAUCAGCUAGUUGGCAGGAUAACAGCCUACCAAGGCGAGGACGGGUAGGGGGCGUGAGAGCGCGACCCCCCAGGAUGGCACUGAGACACGGGCCAUACUCCUACGGGAGGCAGCACUCGGGAAUUUUCCACAAUGGACGAAAGUCUGAUGGAGCGACGCCGCGUGAAGGAUGAAGGUUUUCGGAUCGUAAACUUCUUUUGCCAAGGAAUAGGAAGGAAGGUACUUGGCGAAUAAGGGGCUGCUAACUGCGUGCCAGAAGCAUCGGUGAUACGUGGGCCCCAAGCGUUGUCCGGAUUUAUUGGGCGUAAAGCGAACGUAGGCGGUUAAGAGGAUUUUGUUUCAAAGACCCCAGCUCACCUGGGGGAAGGGAUAGAAUAUCGCUUGACUUGAAUUGAGCAGGGGAGAUCGGAACGCGUGGUGGAGCGGUGAAAUGUGUUGAUAUCACGCGGAACGCCGGUGACGAAGGUUGAUCUCUGGACUCAUAUUGACGCUCAUGUUCGAAAGCUAGGGGAGCGAAACGGAUUAGAUACCCGUGUAGUCCUAGCCCUAAAUGAUGUCUGCUAGGCGUUGGAUUAAGCGUAUUUGUUCCUUCGGGAGCUCUUAUGACAAUUCAGUGUCGAAGUUAACACGGUAAGCAGACCGCCUGGGUAGUACGGCCGCAAGGUUGAAACUCAAAGGAAUUGGCGGGGACCCGCACAAGUUGUGGAGCGCGUGGUUUAAUCCGACGGUAAUCGUAUAAUCUUACCAAGGUUGGACAUACUGUUGCAUUCCACUAGAAAUAGAGGAAGCCUUCGAGGGUGCAGUACAGGUGCUGCAUGGCCGUCGUCAGCUCGUGCCGUGAGGUGUACCGUUAAGUCGGGUAACGAGCGAAACCCCUAUCCCAUGUUACAAGUGUCUUGGGAAACUGCCGUGGUAAAACACGGAGGAAGGGGGGGAUGAUGUCUGGUCAUCAUGGCCCUUAUACCUUGGGCUACACACACGCUACAAUGGUUGGGACAGCGAGUUGCUACACUGCGAAGUGAUGCUAAUCUCAUAAACCCAGCCCUAGUUCAGAUUGCAGGCUGAAACUCGCCUGCGUGAAGCCGGAAUAACUAAUAAUCGCAGAUCAGCCAUGCUGCGGUGAAUACGUUCUCGGGUCUUGCACACACCGCCCGUCAAACUCCCAAAAUUGGGAUUACCUAAAGAUUUUUGAAAUUUAUUUUAAGGGUUUAGGGUAAGAUCAGUAAUGGGGGU
RNAcentral lists this ribosomal RNA (1465 nucleotides) under uncultured bacterium. Its description in RNAcentral is "16S ribosomal RNA". It matches the Rfam family "Bacterial small subunit ribosomal RNA". The record is from RNAcentral.